This 465-nucleotide ribosomal RNA is filed under the name uncultured bacterium. RNAcentral's name for it is "partial 16S ribosomal RNA". It matches the Rfam family "Bacterial small subunit ribosomal RNA", at positions 28 to 507 of the family's 1533-position model. The record is from RNAcentral.
GACGAACGCUGGCGGCGUGCUUAACACAUGCAAGUCGAACGGAAAGGCCCCUUUGGGGGUACUCGAGUGGCGAACGGGUGAGUAACACGUGAGUAACCUGCCCUUGACUUCGGGAUAACUUCAUGAAACUGGGGCUAAUACCGGAUAGGAAUCCUUUCUUCAUGGUUGGGGUUGGAAAGCUUCGGCGGGUUUGGAUGGACGCGCGGCUUAUCAGCUUGUUGGUGGGGUAGUGGCUUACCAAGGCUUUGACGGGUAGCCUGCCUGAGAGGGCGACCGGCCACAAUGGGACUGAGAUACGGCCCAGACUCCUACGGGAGGCAGCAGUGGGGAAGAUUGCCCAAUGGGCGGAAGGCUGAUGCAGGAACGCCGGGUGCGGGAUGACGGGCCUUGGGUUGUAAAACGCUUUCAGCAGGGGAGAAGCUUGUGGUGACGGUACCUGCAGAAGAAGCACCGGCUAACUACGUG